This 872-nucleotide ribosomal RNA is filed under the name uncultured bacterium. RNAcentral describes it as "bacterial SSU rRNA". It matches the Rfam family "Bacterial small subunit ribosomal RNA", at positions 28 to 896 of the family's 1533-position model. The record is from RNAcentral.
AUUGAACGCUGGCGGCGGGCCUAACACAUGCAAGUCGAGCGGAUGAGAAGAGCUUGCUCUUCGAUUCAGCGGCGGACGGGUGAGUAAUGCCUAGGNAUCUGCCUGGUAGUGGGGGACAACGUUUCGAAAGGAACGCUAAUACCGCAUACGUCCUACGGGAGAAAGCAGGGGACCUUCGGGCCUUGCGCUAUCAGAUGAGCCUAGGUCGGAUUAGCUAGUUGGUGAGGUAAUGGCUCACCAAGGCGACGAUCCGUAACUGGUCUGAGAGGAUGAUCAGUCACACUGGAACUGAGACACGGUCCAGACUCCUACGGGAGGCAGCAGUGGGGAAUAUUGGACAAUGGGCGAAAGCCUGAUCCAGCCAUGCCGCGUGUGUGAAGAAGGUCUUCGGAUUGUAAAGCACUUUAAGUUGGGAGGAAGGGCAUUAACCUAAUACGUUAGUGUUUUGACGUUACCGACAGAAUAAGCACCGGCUAACUCUGUGCCAGCAGCCGCGGUAAUACAGAGGGUGCAAGCGUUAAUCGGAAUUACUGGGCGUAAAGCGCGCGUAGGUGGUUGUUAAGUUGGAUGUGAAAGCCCCGGGCUCAACCUGGGAACUGCAUCCAAAACUGGCAAGCUAGAGUACGGUAGAGGGUGGUGGAAUUUCCUGUGUAGCGGUGAAAUGCGUAGAUAUAGGAAGGAACACCAGUGGCGAAGGCGACCACCUGGACUGAUACUGACACUGAGGUGCGAAAGCGUGGGGAGCAAACAGGAUUAGAUACCCUGGUAGUCCACGCCGUAAACGAUGUCAACUAGCCGUUGGAAUCCUUGAGAUUUUAGUGGCGCAGCUAACGCAUUAAGUUGACCGCCUGGGGAGUACGGCCGCAAGGUUA